AGCCAUGGAUGCAUCAUGCAGGACCAAUCUGUGUAGAGUGGAGAAGAAAGCUCAUCAGCUAACAUAAAAAAUGGAGGAACUCGUAUGGCGUAUGGGGCCUACAUGUAGUAACGUAUAUCCACUCUGAAUCUAACAUAUAAAGAUCAAAGUCUCCUCACCAUGACUCGCUGGAGUUAUGUAUGUACGUAGCGGCUGCCGCUCCAUGGCCACCAGAUCCCUACCGCUGCAGCAUCAAUUCCUUGUCACCAUGAUCAAGGGUACAUAGCAGCAGCAUACAUAAGGAUAUGUACAUAUCAUGAAGCAAUUGUAAUCAGCAAGCAGCAGCCUUCUCUGUGUUCUCUGUAUAGAUGUGUAGUAACCAAGCAGCAGCAUGAACAAAAUUGCAGCAGCGGGCUGCUGCUCUCCUCUCUGAUCUCUCUCUAUAUGCAAUAGUAGUAUAGCAGAACAUCAAAAUUAGCUACCGCAGAGCAAUCUCGAAAAAAUAGUAGGAAUAUAAUUAAAAAGAUUCUAAUGUGUUUAUUUUGGCAUAUCGGAACAUUCAGUGUGUAUAUCUGAGUUCUACACCAGCUAUAAUGGCUGCCAAUCUUGGUUAAGUACUGAUCAAGUAGCACUCGGCUGAACAAAAGCAAUAAACUUCAGUCUUUAUGUCCAGAGAAAAUUAGGAAUAAUAGUGAGCAAAGCAUAUGAACAUAUCUCAUUAUUCAAAACUUAAGUUAACAGAUCUACAAUGUGCAUCCUUGUGCACAACCCAUCUCUAAGAAAUUGUUUGGAACAUCAUUGAUAGAAAUUUAUUAGCAGAAUUUAAGCUAUAACAUUGUAGGCAAUACAAAGGAAUUCAAAUGUAAGCUGAAUCUUCCUUGAACUUUCAGGCCUGGCCACUCCGACCCAUUAGUCAUUAGUUUAAAGUUCAAAACUGAUGAUAGAAUUGGACGAUGGCGUACCUUGGAUGGAGCACAUGCCGACAGUGUUUCGGCAAACUAAGUGGAGCAGCGAGAUUGAAAGCUUCGGGCGCAACUGGAACUGAUGCCAGACGGUGUACAGGAGGAGUUUACCUGAGCCGAUUGCACUCAUCCCUUGUCCCGCACUUCCAUCUUGUUGAGUCAUCACAGCUACUGUUCUC
RNAcentral lists this long non-coding RNA (1120 nucleotides) under Triticum aestivum (bread wheat). RNAcentral's name for it is "long non-coding RNA (TAES_LNC018223)". The record is from RNAcentral. Lineage: Eukaryota; Viridiplantae; Streptophyta; Magnoliopsida; Poales; Poaceae.